Molecule: ribosomal RNA, 497 nt
Filed under: uncultured bacterium
Lineage: Bacteria
Description: partial 16S ribosomal RNA
Rfam family: Bacterial small subunit ribosomal RNA
Source: RNAcentral
GAUGAACGCUGGCGGCGUGCCUAAUACAUGCAAGUCGAGCGAACAGACGAGGAGCUUGCUCCUCUGACGUUAGCGGCGGACGGGUGAGUAACACGUGGAUAACCUACCUAUAAGACUGGGAUAACUUCGGGAAACCGGGGCUAAUACCGGAUAAUAUAUUGAACCGCAUGGUUCAAUAGUGAAAGACGGUUUUGCUGUCACUUAUAGAUGGAUCCGCGCCGCAUUAGCUAGUUGGUAAGGUAACGGCUUACCAAGGCAACGAUGCGUAGCCGACCUGAGAGGGUGAUCGGCCACACUGGAACUGAGACACGGUCCAGACUCCUACGGGAGGCAGCAGUAGGGAAUCUUCCGCAAUGGGCGAAAGCCUGACGGAGCAACGCCGCGUGAGUGAUGAAGGUCUUCGGAUCGUAAAACUCUGUUAUUAGGGAAGAACAAAUGUGUAAGUAGCUAUGCACGUCUUGACGGUACCUAAUCAGAAAGCCACGGCUAACUACGUG